AUCCAGUUGAUGAAUCUCAAACAGGAUGAAACAUGCAUCCUGGAU
This 45-nucleotide non-coding RNA is filed under the name Schistosoma haematobium. Lineage: Eukaryota; Metazoa; Platyhelminthes; Trematoda; Strigeidida; Schistosomatidae. The record is from RNAcentral.